GGGCGAAAGCCUGAUCCAGCCAUUCCGCGUGAGUGAAGAAGGCCUUCGGGUUGUAAAGCUCUUUCGCAAGGGAAGAACACUUACUUUCUAAUAAAGAGUGAGGUUGACGGUACCUUGAUAAGAAGCACCGGCUAACUACGUGCCAGCAGCCGCGGUAAUACGUAGGGUGCGAGCGUUAAUCGNAAUUACUGGGCGUAAAGCGUGCGCAGGCGGUUUUGUAAGUCAGAUGUGAAAUCCCCGAGCUCAACUUGGGAACUGCGUUUGAAACUACAAGACUAGAAUAUGUCAGAGGGGGGUAGAAUUCCACGUGUAGCAGUGAAAUGCGUAGAGAUGUGGAGGAAUACCAAUGGCGAAGGCAGCCCCCUGGGAUAAUAUUGACGCUCAUGCACGAAAGCGUGGGGAGCAAACAGGAUUAGAUACCCUGGUAGUCCACGCCCUAAACGAUGUCUACUAGUUGUUGGUGGAGUAAAUCCAUGAGUAACG
This 483-nucleotide ribosomal RNA is filed under the name uncultured bacterium. Its description in RNAcentral is "bacterial SSU rRNA". It matches the Rfam family "Bacterial small subunit ribosomal RNA", at positions 373 to 848 of the family's 1533-position model. The record is from RNAcentral.